RNAcentral lists this ribosomal RNA (257 nucleotides) under uncultured bacterium. RNAcentral's name for it is "partial 16S ribosomal RNA". It matches the Rfam family "Bacterial small subunit ribosomal RNA", at positions 57 to 305 of the family's 1533-position model. The record is from RNAcentral.
GCAAGUCGAGGGGUAACAGAUGAAGAGCUUGCUCAGAUUGCUGACGACCGGCGCACGGGUGAGUAACACGUAUGCAACCUACCUUUUACAGAGGGAUUGCCCAGCGAAAUUUGGAUUAAUACCUCAUCAUAUUUUUGACUCGCAUGAGUUUUAAAUUAAAACUUCGGUGGUAAAAGAUGGGCAUGCGUUCUAUUAGUUUGUUGGUGAGGUAACGGCUUACCAAGACUACGAUAGAUAGGGGUUCUGAGAGGAUAAGC